RNAcentral lists this ribosomal RNA (121 nucleotides) under Burkholderia sp. LK4. RNAcentral's name for it is "partial 23S ribosomal RNA". It matches the Rfam family "Bacterial large subunit ribosomal RNA", at positions 1 to 113 of the family's 2925-position model. The record is from RNAcentral. Lineage: Bacteria; Pseudomonadati; Pseudomonadota; Betaproteobacteria; Burkholderiales; Burkholderiaceae.
GUUAUAGGGUCAAGCGAACAAGUGCAUGUGGUGGAUGCCUUGGCGAUCACAGGCGAUGAAGGACGCGGUAGCCUGCGAAAAGCUACGGGGAGCUGGCAAACGAGCUUUGAUCCGUAGAUGU